CCUACGUGAGGCAGCAGUGGGGAAUAUUGCACAAUGGGGGAACCCUGAUGCAGCGACGCCGCGUGGGUGAAGGAGUACUUCGGUACGUAAAGCCCUAUCAGCAGGAAAGAAAAUGACGCUACCUGACUAAGAAGCCCAGGCGAACUCCGUGACAGCAGCCCCGGUAAUGCGGCGGGGGCAAGCGUUAUCCGGAUGUUCGGGGUGUAAAGGGAGCGUAGGCGGCAGUGCAAGUCCGGAGUGAAAGCCCGGGGCUCAACCCUGGGGCUGCUCUGGAAACUGCAAAGCGGGAGUGCGGGAGGGGCAGGCGGAAUGCGUGGUGUAGCGGUGAAAUGCAUAGAUAUCAGGAGGAACACCGGCGGCGAAGGCGGCCUGCUGGACCGUAACUGACGUUGAGGCUCGAAAGCGUGGGGAGCAAACAGGAUUAGAUACCCGAGUAGUC
This 439-nucleotide ribosomal RNA is filed under the name uncultured bacterium. RNAcentral describes it as "partial 16S ribosomal RNA". It matches the Rfam family "Bacterial small subunit ribosomal RNA", at positions 338 to 795 of the family's 1533-position model. The record is from RNAcentral.